Molecule: long non-coding RNA, 1011 nt
Filed under: Gossypium barbadense (sea-island cotton)
Lineage: Eukaryota; Viridiplantae; Streptophyta; Magnoliopsida; Malvales; Malvaceae
Description: long non-coding RNA (GBAR_LNC001656)
Source: RNAcentral
UUACUCUUUCCUUUUGACCAUCGCCGAUUCCUUCUUUCCACAAUCAUCAAAGGACCAUAAGCGUCGGAUUUAUCAGCGCCGUUGCUUCCUCCUGAAUCAGGUCUGACUUCUUGGAUUAGUUCGUGCUCCUUACUGCCUUAUCCCAUAUCUUGUUGUUCAAUCGUUGUCUUGGUGCAAAUAUCCUGUGUAUGCCCAUAAUGGCCGCAAGAGAAACAGACCGUGGGUAAGUAUUCAUACUUGACUUUUUGCAGUAAUCCAUUGAUAAAAACAUGAGAUAUGAGAGCCUUCCCAAGAUUCACAUAGACCGCCAUUCUUGCAAACCUUCCCCGAACGCCGUUAUCAGUAUUAAAAUCCAAUUUUGCAACCCUUCCUAUUAUUCCCCCUAUUUCUCAGAGUAUUUUCCUUUUGUAAAUGUGCCCAGGCAAAUCGGGUAGCCUUAUCCAAGCCAUGACCAUAUUCGGGUAGGGCUGCGAAGGACUGAAAUCCAUAUGAACAGUUAAGUAUUGGCCAUAUACUACCCAUGGCCCUUGACUUAAUACCUUUUCACAAUCGGCUGGAUUCUGGAACUUGGCUAAGUAGUAGCCGUUUUCGAUGUCCAUUAAACAAAACGGUUGACUCGGGCGCCAUAAAGAAUGGAUCUUGUUUGUAGAGUUGCGUAUCCGAUGUUUCUACCUAAUAACUUUAUAACCACGGUAUGUUCCAUAUCUUUUAUGAGUAUUUGGUUAAUCCGGUCAAAGAAAGCCGGUAUACCGUUGACCAAGGAUCUGACAAUAUCUCCGUCAAGAAUAUCUAGGUCAUCAUCGUCUUCUUCUUUAGAUGAUGGUUCUGCUUUUUCGUCACCUCUUAAGCCUGUACCCAUGAGGCGAUCUUUCCAGGACCUAGGUCUGUCUGGAGCCGAAACAGCGUCCAUGGCCACAUCUGCAUUGCCUUCUUGAUUAUUGAUUAUUUCAAUUCUUGAUAGUCGACUAUCUCUUCUCCCUUCUCCAAUUUUCUCUCGCUCUUCAGACUCCA